GGCAAAUCCGGAUAAUCAAGGCUGAGGUGUGAUGACGAGGCACUACGGUGCUGAAGUAACAAAUGCCCUGCUUCCAGGAAAAGCCUCUAAGCAUCAGGUAACAUCAAAUCGUACCCCAAACCGACACAGGUGGUCAGGUAGAGAAUACCAAGGCGCUUGAGAGAACUCGGGUGAAGGAACUAGGCAAAAUGGUGCCGUAACUUCGGGAGAAGGCACGCUGGUGUGUAGGUGAAGUCCCUGCGGAUGGAGCUGAGACCAGUCGAAGAUACCAGCUGGCUGCAACUGUUUAUUAAAAACACAGCACUGUGCAAACACGAAAGUGGACGUAUACGGUGUGACGCCUGCCCGGUGCCGGAAGGUUAAUUGAUGGGGUUAUCCGUAAGGAGAAGCUCUUGAUCGAAGCCCCGGUAAACGGCGGCCGUAACUAUAACGGUCCUAAGGUAGCGAAAUUCCUUGUCGGGUAAGUUCCGACCUGCACGAAUGGCGUAAUGAUGGCCAGGCUGUCUCCACCCGAGACUCAGUGAAAUUGAACUCGCUGUGAAGAUGCAGUGUACCCGCGGCAAGACGGAAAGACCCCGUGAACCUUUACUAUAGCUUGACACUGAACAUUGAGCCUUGAUGUGUAGGAUAGGUGGGAGGCUUUGAAGCGUGGACGCCAGUCUGCGUGGAGCCAACCUUGAAAUACCACCCUUUAAUGUUUGAUGUUCUAACGUUGGCCCCUGACCGGGGUUGCGGACAGUGUCUGGUGGGUAGUUUGACUGGGGCGGUCUCCUCCCAAAGCGUAACGGAGGAGCACGAAGGUUAGCUAAUCCUGGUCGGACAUCAGGAGGUUAGUGCAAUGGCAUAAGCUAGCUUGACUGCGAGCGUGACGGCGCGAGCAGGUGCGAAAGCAGGUCAUAGUGAUCCGGUGGUUCUGAAUGGAAGGGCCAUCGCUCAACGGAUAAAAGGUACUCCGGGGAUAACAGGCUGAUACCGCCCAAGAGUUCAUAUCGACGGCGGUGUUUGGCACCUCGAUGUCGGCUCAUCACAUCCUGGGGCUGAAGUAGGUCCCAAGGGUAUGGCUGUUCGCCAUUUAAAGUGGUACGCGAGCUGGGUUUAGAACGUCGUGAGACAGUUCGGUCCCUAUCUGCCGUGGGCGCUGGAGAAUUGAGGGGGGCUGCUCCUAGUACGAGAGGACCGGAGUGGACGCAUCACUGGUGUUCGGGUUGUCAUGCCAAUGGCACUGCCCGGUAGCUAAAUGCGGAAGAGAUAAGUGCUGAAAGCAUCUAAGCACGAAACUUGCCCCGAGAUGAGUUCUCCCUGAGACUUUAAGUCUCCUGAAGGAACGUUAAAGACGAUGACGUUGAUAGGCCGGGUGUGUAAGCGCAGCGAUGCGUUGAGCUAACCGGUACUAAUGCU
This 1398-nucleotide ribosomal RNA is filed under the name Klebsiella pneumoniae. RNAcentral describes it as "partial 23S ribosomal RNA". It matches the Rfam family "Bacterial large subunit ribosomal RNA", at positions 1535 to 2908 of the family's 2925-position model. The record is from RNAcentral. Lineage: Bacteria; Pseudomonadati; Pseudomonadota; Gammaproteobacteria; Enterobacterales; Enterobacteriaceae.